UACAGCGCAGCAGGAAAUGACCAUGUACAAAACAAUGUUUUUUUUGAAAGCUGCAAAGAAUAGAAUGAGGGAAGCGAUGAAAGAGAGGUGGAAGGCGGGAGUUCGAUGAAGUGUAACAGAACCUCCGAUUACAACAAUGUCAGUGGAUCUCGAUCUUGUCUACAAGAAGUUGAAUGUGUCACCAGGACAACACACUUUAGUACUUGCAGCAUUGAAAGACAAUCAGCAUACAAAGCGUAGACAGUACCAAAGUACAGUGGAAGCCAAACAGUUGAGGAGGCAAAAUAAAGAUAAAAGGACAAAAUCACUAGCAAUGUUUGGAGGUACGAGAGGGACCAACCUACCAAUCAGGCAUUGAUUUAGAAGAAAAUGUUGAUAUGGAAGCUAUUCCCGCUCCGAUGUAUCAGCCAUGUCCUGAAGAUGACCCAAUUAUGGCUGACGAUUCAAUCUGUAGGGUUGUCUUUGACCUUGAAACAACUGGUCUGGAGAGAGAUUCACAUAUAACAGAACUUGCGGCUGAAACUGUAUAUUCCACAAACAACAGUACAGAUACCUUUCAUCGUUUCAUUAUUUCCAAGAAACCUAUUUCUAACCAGGCUUCCAAGAUACAACUGGCAUAACAGUAAAAGGCAGACAGUUGUUUAAAAAUGCGGCUCUCGUCAACAAUUCUGUUUCUGUAUCAAGAGCCUUAACUUCAUUCCUUGAUUUUUUUAAACAAAAACAAAAGAUUAUUCUUGUUGGUCACAAUAUAAAAACAUUUGAUAGCCUUGUUCUUGUUAAUACUCUGGAAAAUGUUAACAUGAUGGAAGAUUUUCGAAAUAUAGUCAUUGGAUUUGAGGACACACGGAAACUGUUCAUGAUUAAUAAUCCAGAGCUGAAAAGCUACUUGCAGGAAAAUUUAGUUGGCCAGCUGCUUGGCCAAGAAUAUCAAGCACACAGUGCAUCUGAGGAUGUGAAAGCGUUGAAGGCUUUGUAUACAACUGAAGAUGUUGGGAAACAUGUACAUGCAAAAUGUCUAUUUUCUGUUGCAUAUUUUAUCCUCGGCCUUAAUUAUUCACAAAGAGUCCGGAGAAAUUUACCCUCACUUCAAAGAAUGAUUGACAUGAAAGUGUUAACACAAUCUAUGGCAAGAAGAGUUACCGGAAGUGGAUUGGUUUUUAGCUCACCUGAGCCAAAGGCUCAUGGUGAGCUAUUGUGACCGCUCAAUGUCCGGCGUCCGUCAUGCGUCGUCCGUCCGUCAACAUUUCCUAAAAAAAUCUUCUUCUUGAAAACCACUGGGCAGAAUUACACCAACCUUCACAGGAAUGAUCCUUGGGAAGCCCCCUUUCAAAAUUGUUCAAAGAAUUGAAUUCCAUGCAGAACUCUGCUUGCCAUGGCAACCGGAAGGAAAAACUUUAAAAAUCUUCUUCUCAAAAACCAGAAGCCCUAGAGCUUAGAUAUUUAGUGUGAAGCAUUGCCUAGUAGAUCUCUACCAAUUUUGUUCAAAUCAUGACCCUGGGGUCAAAAUUGACCCCGUCCCAGGGGUCACUUGAUUUUACAUAGGAAAAUCUUAAAAAAUCUUCUUCUCCAAAACCAGAAGUCCUAGAGCUUAGAUAUUUGACAUGUAGCAUUGCCUAGUGGACCUCUACUAAAAUUGUUCAAAUCAUGACCCCGGGAUCAAAAUUGACCCCGCCCCAGGGGUCACUUGAUUUUACAUAGAAAAGUCUUCAAAAAUUUUCUUAAAAUAAACCAGAAGGCCUAGAGCUUAGAUAUUUCACAUGCUAGUGGACCUCUACAAAAUUUGUUCAAAUCAUGACCCCCGGGGUCAAAAUUGACUCCGCUCCAGGGGUCAUUUGAUUUUACAUAGGAAAAUCUUCAAAAAUUUUCUAAAAAUAAACCAGAAGGCCUAGAGCUUAGAUAUUUCACAUGUAGCAUGGCCUAGUAGACCUCUACAAAAUUUGUUCAAAUCAUGACCCCCGGGGUCAAAAUUGACCACGCCCCAGGGGUCACUUGAUUUUACAUAGGAAAAUCUUAAGAAAUCUUCUUCUCAAAAACCAGAAGCCCUAGAGCUUAGAUAUUUGACAUGUAGCAUUGCCUAGUGGACCUCUACUAAAAUUGUUCAAAUCAUGACCCCAGGAUGAAAAUUGACCCCGCCCCAGGGGUCACUUGAUUUUACAUAGGAAAAUCUUCAAAAAUUUUCUAAAAAUAAACCAGAAGGCCUAGAGCUUAGAUAUUUCACUUGUAGCAUUGCCUAGUGGACCUCUACAAACUUUGUUCAAAUCAUGUCCCCCGGGGUCAAAAUUGACCCUGCCCCAGGGGUCACUUGAUUUUACAUAGAAAAAUCUUAAAUUUUUUUCUAAAAA
Long non-coding RNA from Mercenaria mercenaria, 2342 nucleotides. RefSeq lists it as uncharacterized. Lineage: Eukaryota; Metazoa; Mollusca; Bivalvia; Venerida; Veneridae. The transcript is spliced from 4 exons. The record is from RefSeq and is a predicted model, not a curated record.